UAAGUUUGUGGUCAAAGGCUUGCACCCAUUUGCCACAGCAGAUGCCCCCAAUUUUCGGUUACCAGAGUCAGGUUGGAAUUCAUGAACAUCAUCAGUGAUCUUUCUCGACAGCGGGCUCAUCAGUACCUGGUGACAAAAAGUCAAUCCAGCUCUGACUUGAGACUGUUCAAGAAUCAGCGCCACUUGAUCUGGUUCCACCUCUACCACCGGCAGAGAAACACAGGUGAGAUCUCCUCCUGCCAGUCAUCAUGCUACAACUGUGUCCAGGUGUUUUGUGGAUAUUAUACAUGGUUAUGCUCAGGAUAAGUCCGCCAAUUUCCACUGGAAAUGCCUUUUGGUUAAACUGUCAGCAAGGAAUUUGCACUGUUAAAUUUUUAUAUAGCUUUAA
Long non-coding RNA from Oreochromis niloticus (Nile tilapia), 388 nucleotides. RefSeq lists it as uncharacterized. The transcript has 2 exons. The record is from RefSeq and is a predicted model, not a curated record. NCBI's taxonomy places the organism in Eukaryota, Metazoa, Chordata, Actinopteri, Cichliformes, Cichlidae.